GGAUGUAGCUCAGUUGGUUAGAGCAUCGGAUUGUGGUUCCGAGUGUCGUGGGUUCGAAUCCCAUCUUC
RNAcentral lists this transfer RNA (68 nucleotides) under human oral metagenome. It matches the Rfam family "tRNA". From Rfam's summary of the family: Transfer RNA (tRNA) molecules are approximately 80 nucleotides in length. The record is from RNAcentral.